This 3607-nucleotide unclassified non-coding RNA is filed under the name Leishmania donovani. Its description in RNAcentral is "gene:LdHU3.31.2290(CDS-product:hypothetical_prote in_conserved)". The record is from RNAcentral. Lineage: Eukaryota; Euglenozoa; Kinetoplastea; Trypanosomatida; Trypanosomatidae.
GAGUUCGAACUAACCACAAAAACGGUAAACCAUCGCACCGCCUCACCUCAGACGGUGACGGUGUAGCGCAGAGUCUUCAUGGUUGCCUGCGCGACAUCUCAAGAGCUUCUCUCUCUUUUCUAGUUGUUCUUCACUCCGCUUUUGUGUUUUGUGGUUUCCGUUGGAUCUUCUCUAAGCUUCACCUCCUAACCCCAUCUCCCACCCCAAGCCCAUUCAGCAGGACCACACAGUGAGAGCAGCUGUCUCUCCUUCUUGAGGAAGCACCACCAGGCCACACAACGGACGGCCGAUUUAUUAUGGUGUGGAGCGAUCUUUUCCCUUUCUACGUCUCAUCAACACCACGUGCACGCGGGAAGCGACGGCGACACGGCAUAGGCAGCAACCACGCGUAGACAUCGCUGCCAUACAGACUCUCCGCAUACCUGGAAACAGAACAAGACGCCUUUCUUUGCUUUCUUUUUUUUUUGUGCGCGCCUUGGCCUUUGUUGUUUUCUUGAUUCGUCUUCCUCGUUGUGCCCACGUGGAUCUCUGCGAGUGGUGGCUUGUGCAUCUUUACACACACACACAUAUAUAUAUAUAUACGCACAUACACACGCGCGUUCGCCGAUCGCAGCGUUCUGUGGGUGGUGAAGCAAGCGAAAAACAAAAGAGGCACAAGGGCACGCAUCAUCCUGCGCGCACGUGGUUCGGUAGUUUGCGCGACAGGCCCCGGCUUCAGUUUUGGUGGCAGUGCCGCUGCCGUAUCGCGAUCUCCGACCACCACCAGCUUUUCCCCUGAUUCACCUUCGCCUUCAAAGACCUCACAGAUGCGCUCGAAAACACAGAAGAACCGGAGCCGCUACACGGGCGGUCCCGUGUCGAGGGUCCUCUUCGACAGCCACGCUGUGGACCUUUCAACCGACAACAGCCAAAAUGGUUCUCGGCCCGACACCCGGAGUGAGAGCCACGACGACGGCAGUGCACGCUGGAACCCGCACGGAGGUGCUGACGCAUACGGAAAGGGCCACGCCGAGAGAGGCGCUGGCACCGAUGUGAGUCCACCACCUCGGCUGCCUCUCACCUUCGCCUUAGGCGGCUUCGACACCGGUGCUGGGCCGCGGGGCGGUUACGCGGCGCGCGUGUACGAGGAAUCCGAUGACAACGAGGAUGCCGAGGACGCUGGUGAGGGAGGUGAUGACUUUGAGCCCGCACACGCCGAGAAGUACUGUAGAGAGGCGGAUGACAACGACGACGAGGAGCUGGGCGAUUACAGCCUAGCGGGAAACGGCGCGGCUGCAUCAGGGAUGUUCCCUAAAGACGCUUGUGCGCGGCACUUAGACGUUGAGGCGAGAAAGGCUGCACCAACUGCUGGUGCACAGCCCGUUGACAGAUUUGGCUUUCACACUGGGAAACAGGCUGAACCCAAUGUGCCGGGGCAGCAGAGUAUUGGCGCUGCGAUGUUUGCUGCCGCGAUGUCUUCAUCCGCUACCGCGGCUGCACCGGCGGCGUCAAAUACGUUCCGGCGUGCGACGCCGGUGGCUCGCGCUGCCUACAGUGUGGGGUACGACCACGCCGUUGGCGAGUCGCCUGCGGAUACGCUCCGUGCAUCACCACUGCGCGGUGAUGGUGCCGCUGUAUCGGCGGCAGCCACGAAGGAGGCCGGCUUGCUUGAGCGAGCCUCGCCAAAACUUACCACCACAGAUACCCUUGGUAUCGCAAGACGGGGCGGCCCUGACAUGACUGCGGCGUCGCAGUCGUUCGGCUACAGCAUGGGCGACGCUAAUCCAGUGCCUUCCGCUGACGCUCGAUACGUGCCAGCAGUGUCGGUUGCUCAUUCUGCAGCCGGCAGUAGAGCGGCCUAUAACCGCAAUUUGGGCACCUACAGUGACUUCAUUUCCGCCACACAGGCCUCCGAGGUCCCGCCAGCGCAUGGGACGACAAUCAGCCCGAAAGAGUCCAUGCAGGGGGCUCUCGAUCACCGGCCCUCAUCGACGACGUCGUCGCCGCUCUCGCCACAGCGCCCCACAGUUGGAGCGACGGACGACAUGCGUGCCCACCGGUGCGGUGACCACGCUUCGGCAACGGGCUUCGAUCACACAUUCAUGCCACCGGUGCUGGUGCUGGACGAGGACGCGAAUGUACGGAACAGUGACGACGAACCCUGCCGCCGCGACGCGGAGGGUGCAGAGCUGCCUGCACCGACGGAGCCGACAAUGGCGGCUAUCGCCGUCCACGCCGUGCCUUUGGCGACGGGGGGCAGCGCACUUGUCACUACAGGAGAGCCAAAGCCGCGGUUUUUCUCUGGUCGCCGCCAGUCCGCGGAGAACUUGCGGGCGAACCGGAGAGCCUCUGCAACCACGGCCGAUGCCACAAAGUCUGCCUGCGAGCAGGGGGGCCGUGUGCGGUCGCCUUCUAACAUGGCAGCAUCAAGGGUGCGGGAAAGCUUAUCCGCGGAGGUGGCCCCUCUCCCAACGCGGCAGCGUCCCUCGGAGUUGGUCCGUAGACGAGAGAAGACGGAAGAAGAGGCCGACGCAGUACACCACUCCGCCGCUUCAGAACGCAUAGAAAGACAUAGCACGGCCGCGAAGUCCGAUGCGCCGCCAGUGCGUGCACCGACCAUGGCCCUCAGCAUCUCUGUCACGCACAUGUUCAACUACUCGGAGACAGAAAGGGUGUGGCUUUCAUGUGACCAGUCGAGUACACUCCCGGUAUGUUCGAAUCAGAGGUCGACGUGUGUGAAUGGCCGCAAGGCACCACCGGCGACUGCAGGCUCUUUGGACAAGGCGUUGCCGCCUCCGUCUGCUUCUCCCGUGCAGGUGUCGCUCUACUGUCGUCCGUUGCUGGUCCAACUGCCGAGCCACUCGCUGCACACAUCUAUUCUCUGUGCCGCUGGUAACAGUGCUUUCCUGAGAGUGACUCUCGCCGUGCUCUACUACGCGCCGCGUGUCCUCGUGGGAAGUCUUCUACGGGCGCUUAUCCGCACCGCAGUGGUGUUCUUGGUACUGACUGCAGGACUGGUCACGAUGGAUGCUGCAUGGGGCCAGUGGCCAAUCCUGAGUGUCUACACAGCAGAGGCUCAAGGCAACGCUACGAUGAUGAUUCUCUCGACCCGCGAAUGGCUCGCCUCCCUGGGCAUUGCCAGAGAAUGAACUAUCUGCAGGUGUGCUCGGGUGCCGCGAGGCUGCGGCACGAUUGGGUCAGCUCGGAGGUUCUGAGCCGAGGGCGCGACGCAUCACAAAAAGAUGUAAGACGACGGUGGGCUGUGUUUGUUUUCCGUUUCGGUCGGCUGAGAUUCGCUCGCUGCUUUUGAGUGUGUGUCGGCCCUGCGCGUGCCCCUCCUCCGUGUUUCCGUCUCGUCUUUGCGGAGAACGCCAUAUCGUCACCACCCAAGAAAACAGGCGCCGUUAUCCCUCGCCUCCUCCUGGCUCCCUCUGCUGCUUGGCUUGCACGAACUCCACAGCGAGGGGUCGAGCGGCAGCACGAGACGGAGGUGCUGCGUCUUUACGUACGCGCAUUCCUCUCUGUCUCUCUUGCUCUCUGAGCGCUCUCGUGCACUCCUUGCAUGGGCCCUCACCUACCGGUGUCGCUCUCGCUCUUCCACUGCGUCUCCUCGCCCCUUCCUCUUUAG